GGGUUGUGAGGUUAAGCGACUAAGCGUACACGGUGGAUGCCCUGGCAGUCAGAGGCGAUGAAGGACGUGCUAAUCUGCGAUAAGCGUCGGUAAGGUGAUAUGAACCGUUAUAACCGGCGAUUUCCGAAUGGGGAAACCCAGUGUGAUUCGUCACACUAUCAUUAACUGAAUCCAUAGGUUAAUGAGGCGAACCGGGGGAACUGAAACAUCUAAGUACCCCGAGGAAAAGAAAUCAACCGAGAUUCCCCCAGUAGCGGCGAGCGAACGGGGAGCAGCCCAGAGCCUGAAUCAGUGUGUGUGUUAGUGGAAGCGUCUGGAAAGGCGCGCGAUACAGGGUGACAGCCCCGUACACAAAAAUGCACAUGCUGUGAGCUCGAUGAGUAGGGCGGGACACGUGGUAUCCUGUCUGAAUAUGGGGGGACCAUCCUCCAAGGCUAAAUACUCCUGACUGACCGAUAGUGAACCAGUACCGUGAGGGAAAGGCGAAAAGAACCCCGGCGAGGGGAGUGAAAAAGAACCUGAAACCGUGUACGUACAAGCAGUGGGAGCACAGAGCAAUCUGUGUGACUGCGUACCUUUUGUAUAAUGGGUCAGCGACUUAUAUUCUGUAGCAAGGUUAACCGAAUAGGGGAGCCGAAGGGAAACCGAGUCUUAACUGGGCGUUAAGUUGCAGGGUAUAGACCCGAAACCCGGUGAUCUAGCCAUGGGCAGGUUGAAGGUUGGGUAACACUAACUGGAGGACCGAACCGACUAAUGUUGAAAAAUUAGCGGAUGACUUGUGGCUGGGGGUGAAAGGCCAAUCAAACCGGGAGAUAGCUGGUUCUCCCCGAAAGCUAUUUAGGUAGCGCCUCGUGAAUUCAUCUCCGGGGGUAGAGCACUGUUUCGGCAAGGGGGUCAUCCCGACUUACCAACCCGAUGCAAACUGCGAAUACCGGAGAAUGUUAUCACGGGAGACACACGGCGGGUGCUAACGUCCGUCGUGAAGAGGGAAACAACCCAGACCGCCAGCUAAGGUCCCAAAGUCAUGGUUAAGUGGGAAACGAUGUGGGAAGGCCCAGACAGCCAGGAUGUUGGCUUAGAAGCAGCCAUCAUUUAAAGAAAGCGUAAUAGCUCACUGGUCGAGUCGGCCUGCGCGGAAGAUGUAACGGGGCUAAACCAUGCACCGAAGCUGCGGCAGCGACGCUGAUGCGUUGUUGGGUAGGGGAGCGUUCUGUAAGCCUGUGAAGGUGUGCUGUGAGGCAUGCUGGAGGUAUCAGAAGUGCGAAUGCUGACAUAAGUAACGAUAAAGCGGGUGAAAAGCCCGCUCGCCGGAAGACCAAGGGUUCCUGUCCAACGUUAAUCGGGGCAGGGUGAGUCGACCCCUAAGGCGAGGCCGAAAGGCGUAGUCGAUGGGAAACAGGUUAAUAUUCCUGUACUUGGUGUUACUGCGAAGGGGGGACGGAGAAGGCUAUGUUGGCCGGGCGACGGUUGUCCCGGUUUAAGCGUGUAGGCUGGUUUUCCAGGCAAAUCCGGAAAAUCAAGGCUGAGGCGUGAUGACGAGGCACUACGGUGCUGAAGCAACAAAUGCCCUGCUUCCAGGAAAAGCCUCUAAGCAUCAGGUAACAUCAAAUCGUACCCCAAACCGACACAGGUGGUCAGGUAGAGAAUACCAAGGCGCUUGAGAGAACUCGGGUGAAGGAACUAGGCAAAAUGGUGCCGUAACUUCGGGAGAAGGCACGCUGAUAUGUAGGUGAAGUCCCUCGCGGAUGGAGCUGAAAUCAGUCGAAGAUACCAGCUGGCUGCAACUGUUUAUUAAAAACACAGCACUGUGCAAACACGAAAGUGGACGUAUACGGUGUGACGCCUGCCCGGUGCCGGAAGGUUAAUUGAUGGGGUCAGCGCAAGCGAAGCUCUUGAUCGAAGCCCCGGUAAACGGCGGCCGUAACUAUAACGGUCCUAAGGUAGCGAAAUUCCUUGUCGGGUAAGUUCCGACCUGCACGAAUGGCGUAAUGAUGGCCAGGCUGUCUCCACCCGAGACUCAGUGAAAUUGAACUCGCUGUGAAGAUGCAGUGUACCCGCGGCAAGACGGAAAGACCCCGUGAACCUUUACUAUAGCUUGACACUGAACAUUGAGCCUUGAUGUGUAGGAUAGGUGGGAGGCUUUGAAGUGUGGACGCCAGUCUGCAUGGAGCCGGCCUUGAAAUACCACCCUUUAAUGUUUGAUGUUCUAACGUUGACCCGUGAUCCGGGUUGCGGACAGUGUCUGGUGGGUAGUUUGACUGGGGCGGUCUCCUCCUAAAGAGUAACGGAGGAGCACGAAGGUUGGCUAAUCCUGGUCGGACAUCAGGAGGUUAGUGCAAUGGCAUAAGCCAGCUUGACUGCGAGCGUGACGGCGCGAGCAGGUGCGAAAGCAGGUCAUAGUGAUCCGGUGGUUCUGAAUGGAAGGGCCAUCGCUCAACGGAUAAAAGGUACUCCGGGGAUAACAGGCUGAUACCGCCCAAGAGUUCAUAUCGACGGCGGUGUUUGGCACCUCGAUGUCGGCUCAUCACAUCCUGGGGCUGAAGUAGGUCCCAAGGGUAUGGCUGUUCGCCAUUUAAAGUGGUACGCGAGCUGGGUUUAGAACGUCGUGAGACAGUUCGGUCCCUAUCUGCCGUGGGCGCUGGAGAACUGAGGGGGGCUGCUCCUAGUACGAGAGGACCGGAGUGGACGCAUCACUGGUGUUCGGGUUGUCAUGCCAAUGGCACUGCCCGGUAGCUAAAUGCGGAAGAGAUAAGUGCUGAAAGCAUCUAAGCACGAAACUUGCCCCGAGAUGAGUUCUCCCUGACUCCUUGAGAGUCCUGAAGGAACGUUGAAGACGACGACGUUGAUAGGCCGGGUGUGUAAGCGCAGCGAUGCGUUGAGCUAACCGGUACUAAUGAACCGUGAGGCUUAACCUUACAACGCCGAAGGUGUUU
This 2933-nucleotide ribosomal RNA is filed under the name Escherichia coli. RNAcentral's name for it is "23S ribosomal RNA". It matches the Rfam family "Bacterial large subunit ribosomal RNA". Lineage: Bacteria; Pseudomonadati; Pseudomonadota; Gammaproteobacteria; Enterobacterales; Enterobacteriaceae. RNAcentral also lists the same sequence under 2 other names. The record is from RNAcentral.